This is a non-coding RNA of Saccharomyces cerevisiae S288C, 3087 nucleotides long. RefSeq annotates it as GAL4 lncRNA. The record is from RefSeq. The transcript has a single exon. NCBI's taxonomy places the organism in Eukaryota, Fungi, Ascomycota, Saccharomycetes, Saccharomycetales, Saccharomycetaceae.
GAUCAGAGGUUACAUGGCCAAGAUUGAAACUUAGAGGAGUAUAGUUACAUAAAAGAAGGCAAAACGAUGUAUAAAUGAAAGAAAUUGAGAUGGUGCACGAUGCACAGUUGAAGUGAACUUGCGGGGUUUUUCAGUAUCUACGAUUCAUUUUACUCUUUUUUUGGGUUUGGUGGGGUAUCUUCAUCAUCGAAUAGAUAGUUAUAUACAUCAUCCAUUGUAGUGGUAUUAAACAUCCCUGUAGUGAUUCCAAACGCGUUAUACGCAGUUUGGUCCGUCCAACCAGGUGACAGUGGUUUUGAAUUAUUACCAUCAUCAAUUUUACUAGCCGUGAUUUCAUUAUUCAUGAAGUUAUCAUGAACGUUAGAGGAGGCAAUUGGUUGUGAAAGCGCUUGAGAAUUUGUUUGAGUUGUUAUGAGGUUCGGACCGUUGCUACUGUUAGUGAAAGUGAAGGACAAUGAGCUAUCAGCAAUAUUCCCACUUUGAUUAAAAUUGGCGCCACCAAACAAAGCAGACGGGGUCAGUGGCACUAAUGAUUGCAGCUGUUGCUGUUGCCCUAGAAAAGGCGUGACUGAGCGAUGCGAAGGUGUGCUUCUUGGUAUUGUCACUGGAGAGUUACGAGAGGGUGGACGGUUAGAUAACAGCUUGACUAGAUCACUGAAACUUGCUCCUGAUUUCAAUGGCACAGGUGAAGGCCCUACUGAGCCAGGAGAAACAUAUUUAACACUGAUAUUGUUGACAUUUUCCUCCGGAAGAGUAGGGUAUUGGGCGAUAGUUGCAGAACCGACAAUAUUUUUAAUGGCGCUACCAUUACUAUUGUUAUAACUGAUAUGCGGUAAUGGGAUUGCACACUGUGAUAACAGAAACGGCGCACAUACCUCUUCCAGUACUUGAAUGUAUUUUUCACAAGUCUGGAUUUUAAAAGUGGCCAGUUUUUUUAAUAGCAUCAGAACAGUGUUAAUUUGUUGUAAUAAUUGUGCGGUCUCGUUAUUCUCAGCAUUCGAUUUUGAGUUUGAGAGUAGAGUCUUUAUGGGUACUAGGACUGCAUUGAACAAGUAAUAAGAACAAUUCCAGGCAAAAUAUGGGGUGACAUUAUGAUUGUCCAUAUAGCUACUUACAGACAUAACAGUUCUUUGUGCUGCAUCGCUUAACAUGAUGGAGCAUCGUUUAACUUCAUAACUUUGAUGAUCAUUUUGAUCCUGUUCUAGUUGUGACUUUUUCUGGGUAAAAUUAGUGAAAAAAUCUCUUAAUACAUAAAUGAUAAGAGACAACUGUUUCCACUUCAGUUCGAAUCUUGUAAAGGAUAGCCAAGGGUGUUCCUUCAACAAAUUGGUUAGAGCGGUGGUGGAAAUAUCCAUUUGUAAAAACUUUGGUGCCUGUCUCGAAACCUCCUCAAUCUCAUUACAAAUCAUCAAGCAUUUUUUUGCACAUAUAGGACUUUUUUCUGCAGUUACUGUUUUGUCUAGUUCAUAGAUUUUUGUGAAAACUUGUAAGAGCCUUGCUGUUUCAAUGAUGCCAUGAUAUAUGGUGGGACCUGUUGUGGUACGCUGCACAUCGUCGACAGAAGAAGGGAAGGAGAUUGUAUUCUGAGAAAGCUGGAUGGAUCGACCAUAAAGCAGGGACAAUUGGAUCUCCCAAGAGUAGACAGACCACCAAAUUCGGCGUCUUUGUUCCAGAAUGCUGCUAUCACUGAAGGACGAGGGGAGGUCCCUAUUCAAGCCCAAUGAUAUGGCCAUUCUUAUGGAAAAGCUGUGAAAAUUAUAGCUAGUAUUUGUUUUCUGCCUCCACUGUGUAUAUCGCGACAGAAGAUGUAGGGCUGUCACCAAAAUUAUGGAACCUGACUCGAAGACCUUGCUCGUCAAAUGAGAUUUAGCAUUUUGAUAGUAAAAAACAUCUAUAUCAGUAGAUUCCCCCUCUAUACACCAGGCUCCAAUGGCUAAUAUGCAGUUAAAAAGGAUUUGCCAUUGAUCCUUCGACGCGAUUUCAAUCUGGUUAUUAUACAACAUCAUUAGCGUCGGUGAGUGCACGAUAGGGCAGUAGGGGUGAAAAUUAUUGAGAUAACUUUGAAGUAAACGGGAUGUUGUGGAUCUAGAAGCCAACGUGUAUCUAUCCGUAAUCAUGGUCGGGAGCCUGUUAACGUUAGAGUUCGUGUAAUUUUCCGGUUUAAAGCCAAUAGAUCGAAGAAUACAUAAGAGAGAACCGUCGCCAAAGAACCCAUUAUUGUUGGGGUCCGUUUUCAGGAAGGGCAAGCCAUCCGACAUGUCAUCCUCUUCAGACCAAUCAAAUCCAUGAAGAGCAUCCCUGGGCAUAAAAUCCAACGGAAUUGUGGAGUUAUCAUGAUGAGCUGCCGAGUCAAUCGAUACAGUCAACUGUCUUUGACCUUUGUUACUACUCUCUUCCGAUGAUGAUGUCGCACUUAUUCUAUGCUGUCUCAAUGUUAGAGGCAUAUCAGUCUCCACUGAAGCCAAUCUAUCUGUGACGGCAUCUUUAUUCACAUUAUCUUGUACAAAUAAUCCUGUUAACAAUGCUUUUAUAUCCUGUAAAGAAUCCAUUUUCAAAAUCAUGUCAAGGUCUUCUCGAGGAAAAAUCAGUAGAAAUAGCUGUUCCAGUCUUUCUAGCCUUGAUUCCACUUCUGUCAGAUGUGCCCUAGUCAGCGGAGACCUUUUGGUUUUGGGAGAGUAGCGACACUCCCAGUUGUUCUUCAGACACUUGGCGCACUUCGGUUUUUCUUUGGAGCACUUGAGCUUUUUAAGUCGGCAAAUAUCGCAUGCUUGUUCGAUAGAAGACAGUAGCUUCAUCUUUCAGGAGGCUUGCUUCUCUGUCCUCUCUUAAAAUGAUGGCGUGCAUUACGUAGACACAAUCUGGAGAUGAAGCUGAAAAUCUGGGGAAGGAUGACGGAAAAAAUAGCUCAUAAAACAGAAAAAGGCCCGAAGUAACAAUAGGAAAAAUUAAUUGCACUAAACAAAGAAAACGAUAUUAUGGUGAUUAAACUGAUACAGAAUUAUGUAAAUACUUUGAAAUUAUAGAAGGUUUGUAGAAUAAAAAAAAUACUGGGCGAAUGCUGUCUCAAAGGACGCGGACGUUUUGAAA